Long non-coding RNA from Diprion similis, 129 nucleotides. RefSeq lists it as uncharacterized. NCBI's taxonomy places the organism in Eukaryota, Metazoa, Arthropoda, Insecta, Hymenoptera, Diprionidae. The transcript has 3 exons. The record is from RefSeq and is a predicted model, not a curated record.
AGCUGGUGCAGCCGGUGCAGCCGCAGCAGGAGCAGCUGCAGCUGGUGGAGCUGGUGCAGCCGGUGCAGCCGCAGCUGGUGGAGCCGGAGCAGGAGCCGCUGGUGCCGCUGCUGGCGGUGCAGCCGGAGC